AGCGAACGCUGGCGGCAGGCCUAACACAUGCAAGUCGAACGAACUCUUCGGAGUUAGUGGCGGACGGGUGAGUAACACGUGGGAACGUGCCUUUAGGUUCGGAAUAACUCAGGGAAACUUGUGCUAAUACCGAAUGUGCCCUUCGGGGGAAAGAUUUAUCGCCUUUAGAGCGGCCCGCGUCUGAUUAGCUAGUUGGUGAGGUAAAGGCUCACCAAGGCGACGAUCAGUAGCUGGUCUGAGAGGAUGAUCAGCCACAUUGGGACUGAGACACGGCCCAAACUCCUACGGGAGGCAGCAGUGGGGAAUCUUGCGCAAUGGGCGAAAGCCUGACGCAGCCAUGCCGCGUGAAUGAUGAAGGUCGUAGGAUUGUAAAAUUCUUUCACCGGGGACGAUAAUGACGGUACCCGGAGAAGAAGCCCCGGCUAACUUCGUG
Molecule: ribosomal RNA, 433 nt
Filed under: uncultured bacterium
Lineage: Bacteria
Description: partial 16S ribosomal RNA
Rfam family: Bacterial small subunit ribosomal RNA
Source: RNAcentral